GUCGGCAAACAGACUUUGAUCCGGAGAUGUCUGAAUGGGGGAACCCAGCCAUCAUAAGAUGGUUAUCUUGUACUGAAUACAUAGGUGCAAGAAGCGAACCAGGGGAACUGAAACAUCUAAGUACCCUGAGGAAAAGAAAUCAACCGAGAUUCCCUUAGUAGUGGCGAGCGAACGGGGACUAGCCCUUAAGUGGCUUUGAGAUUAGCGGAACGCUCUGGAAAGUGCGGCCAUAGUGGGUGAUAGCCCUG
Molecule: ribosomal RNA, 248 nt
Filed under: Klebsiella pneumoniae
Lineage: Bacteria; Pseudomonadati; Pseudomonadota; Gammaproteobacteria; Enterobacterales; Enterobacteriaceae
Description: partial 23S ribosomal RNA
Rfam family: Bacterial large subunit ribosomal RNA
Source: RNAcentral